UAAUACAGAGGGUGCAAACGUUGUUCGGAAUUACUGGGCAUAAAGCGCGCGUAGGCGGCCGCGUAAGUGUGGAGUGAAAUCCCACGGCUCAACCGUGGAAUUGCUUGGCAUACUGCGUGGCUAGAGGACGGUAGGGGAGAGCGGAACUCCUGGUGGAGCGGUGAAAUGCGUAGAUAUCAGGAGGAACACCGGUGGCGAAGGCGGCUCUCUGGUCCGUUACUGACGCUGAGGCGCGAAAGCCAGGGUAGCGAACGGGAUUAGAUACCCCGGUAGUCCUGGCCGUAAACGAUGGGCACUAACUAAAGGCCCUUUCCUGAGGGUCUUUGGUGAAGCAAAUGUGUUAAGUGCCCCGCCUGGGGAGUAUGGUCGCAAGGCUA
RNAcentral lists this ribosomal RNA (377 nucleotides) under uncultured bacterium. RNAcentral's name for it is "bacterial SSU rRNA". It matches the Rfam family "Bacterial small subunit ribosomal RNA", at positions 521 to 896 of the family's 1533-position model. The record is from RNAcentral.